CCACUUUACUCCUAUCUCCGUGUUAGAGUGCUCUGUCCAGGGUCCUCACAGUUUCCUGCUUCACUUCCAGAUGAAGCAAUUCAAGAGAGAUCAAGUAUAAAGUAACUUUCAUGUUCCAUUCUCAGAAGUCACAAACCAUCAUGUGUGCCACAUUCUACUUAUCAGAAGUGAGUUACCAAGUCCAGCCCACUUUCAAGAAGAGAAUUUAGCUCCCCUUUCUUUCUUUCUUUCUUUCUUUCUUUUUUUCUUUCUUUCUUUCUACACAGGGUCUCACUUUGUAACUCAGGCUGGCCUUGAACUCACUAUGUAGCCUGGGCUGGUCUUGAACUUUCAGUGAUCUUCCUGGCUCAGCCUCCCAAGUGCUGGGAUUACAGUGUGCUCUACUCAGAUAGUCUCCUGUCAGAAUACGGAAGCCAACCCAACAUGCAGAAAGUCCACCGUGUCUGAGAAUGACUCCCUCCAUUCACCUCCUCCCCUGCCAUUGAUCACUGCCAUGAUAGGUCAGGACAUUCAAUGCCAUUCCUCUUUGCCUCUGGUCAAAUCUUCUGAAACAUAACUUCCUCCAGAGAACUUCAGGAUGAGGAUGAAGUACCCAUCACAGGACUUUGCCUGAGAUUACAUCUGCCUGCUCCCUCCCCAUGUGAUCUACUCCCUCCUGCCUCCUUUCCAAUGUUCCCUGGAAGUGUUUUCUUAAUAAAUACAUCCACAUGAAUCAUCCUCUUGGGGUGUGCUUCUCAGAAACCCAACUACAGCUCAGUAUUUGCAGCCAUAGCACUGAUCAGAUGACUCUCUCCUACAGAAAAUUUG
Molecule: long non-coding RNA, 807 nt
Organism: Heterocephalus glaber (naked mole-rat)
Lineage: Eukaryota; Metazoa; Chordata; Mammalia; Rodentia; Bathyergidae
Source: Ensembl